AUUUGAUUUCAGAACAAAUUCAUACUUAGUUGUUAUUUCUAUUUUGUGAAACUCAAAAUGUUAGCUUAAAUGUUCAAUUAUAAUCAACAUAAUUAUGGGAAUUUAAAAACUAGAACAAAGUAUUGUCACUUUUGAACAUUUUAUUAAGUAGGCACUGUACUGCAACAUUAUUUUAAAAUAAAGGUUAGAUAUUAACCAGGAAUGUGGAUAUUGCUAUUAUUUCACAAAAAUCUUGCAUGUGACUACUACAGUGAUAGUUUGAGAGAAGACUACCAGGGAAUUUAAUCUUGUGGAACAUAACAAACAUUCAUAUUGAAGACUUGUGCAUACAAUUAUUAUAACAAAACCUAAAAUAUCCAAUCAAUCUGUGAGAUAUAUUUUAUGGAUAAAAUAAUUUUUAGAUAGUAUUUACACAUAGUUGUAAGUAACAUAUUUCUGAAUGUUAUAACUAAACCUAAUUUUACAUAUUUAGUUGUAAAUAUUUAAUAAUAAGCCAUUGAAAUCGUGAAGACAAAUAUUUGUAAUAUUUAUAAUUAUUUUUAAUUUAAUAUCAUAAAGUUUAUUUUUUUUUUACUCAACCUAGUUAAACAGCCAAAAGUAAGUGUCAAAUAAAACUAUUAGGUCCAAUAUUGUAAGAUGUUUUAAUUUAAAGAUAAUAAUUUUAGCUUAAUAUUCAAAUGUAUUUUAAUUUUCAAUUAAUUCUACAUUUCAUUUGAAGUUGUAAAUUUUUUUUUAGAAGUAAUAAUUAUAUUUAAACUGUGCAUUAAUAUAAGAAUCUACAAUAAAACCUUAUUAAUAUUUUCAAUAAUUAAUACAGACCGUAAACAAUUUUAUCUAUAGCUAUUGAAGUUGAAGUAGUGUGUCAUAUUAAAUUGUAAUUUGAAACUGCACCGUAAGCAAUAAGGUUUAUAUUAUAGUAUUAAUGUGGCCACUCUUCGAUAUUUGGUAGUUAUAGGUUAGGUUAGUUACAUUAAAGACAAGAGUUAUAUUCAGUGGUCGGGACGCUACUAGUUUUUUGUCACACGCUAAUGCUACGGCUAGUCCCCGAAAAAAAGUAGCUUGCACUUUUAAAUUUUCCAAUUGAAAAUUGAUAGUUUAUAGUUUGUACUGAUUUAACAUUUGGUCACUAGACGGGUUUUAACUACGCAAGUUAAUCGUGGAUUAAACCCGAAAAAGGCAUUAAUAUACUCAUCAUUAUUAUAAUGUAAAUAAAUAAAUAUUAUAGUUGUUUUAACUAUCACCAAAUAAGUAUUGAAGGUAGCGAAAAAAUAAUGGUCAUUUUCGCUAUGCUAACUAAAAAUUACUAGCGCACUAAAGUAUAUCGCUACAAUGAGCGCGCUACUCCCGACCACUGGUUAUAUUAAACAAAUAUAUAUUUUCAUUAAAUAAAAUAUAAUUACAUUUAAUAAUUAAAAUGGCCAUUUCCUUAUAU
Molecule: long non-coding RNA, 1432 nt
Organism: Acyrthosiphon pisum (pea aphid)
Lineage: Eukaryota; Metazoa; Arthropoda; Insecta; Hemiptera; Aphididae
Exons: 3
Source: RefSeq, a predicted model, not a curated record